Oryza sativa Japonica Group (Japanese rice) is the source of this 3124-nucleotide non-coding RNA. The record is from RefSeq and is a predicted model, not a curated record. NCBI's taxonomy places the organism in Eukaryota, Viridiplantae, Streptophyta, Magnoliopsida, Poales, Poaceae.
UUUAACCAUCUCCAUCUCCACCGCAGAAAUUUCUCCCUCUACGCGCAAAGACCGUGCGAAGACUACGCCUCACCCUCUAUAUGCGCGACUCCACCGCUACCGCCGCCAGAGCCAAGUUCUUCUCCAUCCGCCUCCGGAGUCGUGCUCCUCGCUCCUCCUCCUCGCGUGUACUGCUGCUGUGCUGGAGCCGUGGUCUUCCCCAUACGACGUCAUCUCCAGUCGCCGUCGGAGCCGAGGUCGUCCCCUUCCGUCUCCGCCACUAUCGCACAGCACCGCUGCCCCCCCCCCCCACCCCCCUGGAGACGAGUUCUUCUCCAGCUACCGCUGGAGCCGUGCUCCACGCUCCUCCUCGCGUGUAUUGCUGCCGCCGCCGGAGCCCUGGUCUUCCCCAGUCCGUCGCCGGAGCCGAGGCCCCCCCCCCCUCUUCCCCUGCCCUCGAAGCUGAGGUCUUCCCAUCCGGCGACGCCACUGCAGUCCACCGCUGCGCUCAACGGAGCCGAGGCUGCAGCGUUGUGGCGCAGCGCCGUAGUGACGAGCAGACGCGGCAACCGGGCGACGAGGAGCGAGCAGCAGGAGGUGAGGGCGAGGAGCUAGCAGAUCAGGCCAUCCCUCCAUGAAGGGCAUCAGACGACGAGGGGCAAGCAGCAGCAGCUAGCAGAGCAAGCGAUUUUCGAUGGAGAAGAAAACAAUGUUGUUAAAUUAUUAUGCAAGCAAUUCAAGUAGUACCAAUCAAACUGAUGAGAACAGAAUGGAAUUUUUGCUGAUUGUGCACAAAAUAAGAAUAACAAUAGGUCGAACCUACCCUCUAUUUCUAUCCUGUAUUUGCCACUGACGCCCUUGGAACACCACUGCCCUGAUUUCAUCCACUCUUGGCUCCAUUUGGAAUCUGGCCAUCGUCCUGCACCCUGCUUCCCAUUUUCAAAUCAACUUCAGCACCCACAUUCUCCUGGAAGGUUUUUGUCCUGCUCAGGAAGGGGGUGUCGCCAAAGUGAAUUCAAGACAGCUAGCAUUCAAUACUUUACACAAGAUCCAGGAGCCACCAGCAAUGCAAGUGGUUGUCUUACUGGUACUGUACAUUUUCUUCAAUAGAAUAUAGUUGAAAUGUAGUAUUGGGGUUCUGGUAUUAAUGUUCUGUGAUCAGUAUUUGCAAUGUAUUGGAGUUGAAAGAUGCACCUUCUGUUGUAGCAGGAGUAAAAAAAUGCUGGAAUGUAAGUGAAUGUUACAUGUACAUAUGUGCAAACAAUCAUGACCAUUACUAACUUAUUUGUUCUUUCUGCAGGUAUGUUGUGAUGAUCCCAGAGUCCAAGGUUGGAUGCUUCAUAUCAUAAAGGAGUUGUCCAUGUAUUUAGGUACCAUUUGUUAAUAUCAUGACGGCCAUGGUAAAGUUCAUAAUAUGUCAAUGUAUAUAGUUCAUUCCCUAUCGUUAUUUUACUUUUCCUUUGAGCUGAAAUAUUGCCCAUGGGGUUAGCUCAUUUGUGUGGCAUUGGUGGUAUAUUCUGAUUGAAAUUUAUAAUUGGUUGAUGUACUAAAGAGCCAAAAAGCUACCCUAGACCUUUAACUGUUAACCUUGUAUAGAUUUGGAAAUAUAUUGGCAAGGACUCAUGUGACUUCACUAUAUCAUGCUAUUUAUGUUGCUGAUUAAAAUUAAAUUGAGGUGUAUCACUGUGGCAAUUAAGCUAAGAGUAAUCAGAUUCCUAAUGUUUUGAGUUUACAACCUUUUUCCUUUCAUCGUGAAGGCUGCAAUUUAUUUCAGUAAGAUACAAUGUUUCUGCUUUGAGGAUCAAACCCUUCUUCCAAUGCAAAGAAGAAAAAGGGAAAUUCAGCCAAUGUGCAGGUAUAGCAGGAACAAAUGUGUAAAUAUUAGAUGCCUUGCCCAUACAAUCUCUUUGAGAUGUAGCUGUUGGUACUUUCUUAUGUUCCAUGGUGCCAGUGGUAUGUUCUGCAACUUGAGCAAACACGAUUUUCCUUUUUUUUUCUUCUCUUCUUUCACAGUUGCUAAUAGUCAUUUUCUGCACAAAGUUUUAAUUGCAGGCUACUCAAGAACCUAAGAAGUUCUGUCAUGAAGCUGUUGUUUUUCUGGAGUCCCUUUUGGUAACAUCUAUUAGAGGACACUUGGGACCUCACCUAUAAAAAACAAGUAAAUUUUGACCAUUGCUUCAUAUUAAGUGAAUAUCCUCUUUAUAUAUACCAAUGAUCAAUUUUGGAGCUCAGGAAAAUGGAACCAUGGCUUCAUUUCCUUAAAAAGUGCAUCGGUUGAAUCCACAGUGUAUAUUCUGCAAGUUAUAAGCAAGGAUUUUGAUGCUCCUUAUUUCUUCCCUGAAAAUUUCAAGUAAAGAUGUGUUUUUUGGAAUUUUGAAUAUUUGCAUUGUGCUGAUGACUUCUAAUUACUAACGAUGUAAUUCAUAAAUUUUAUCUAUCAGCAUAUGCUUGCUUAGCCGGUUUGUUAUUCUUUUUAUUUGGAUAUACGUAGUUUGCUUGAAAAAUUUGAUGGGGCUAAAAGAUUAUUUGGUUUCUCAGGAAGAUGCUUGAUGCUAAUGUCUUCUCGAGCUUUCAGAUUGUAAGCUUCACAAGAAAAAGAGUGUGGCUGUGGACUCCAGGAUUACAUUGAAUCUUGAAAAGGUAUGCACUAUUCCAAUUUCAGAUGAUGCAUUUCCCUGAUUUGAGAUGUUUCCUUUUUUCCAAUCUAACAAAGGAAACCUUUCCUUGAGGGAAUUCCAUGAAAUAUAUUGGUUUCCAGAUUUCAAGAUUGUUAGGUCAUUUCGUGGCUGCCACUUCAACUGUAGGUGUGUGCAUAGUUUAGCAAUAUGACCUCUUUAGAUUAAUAUUGUGGUGAAGGAAAAUAUAUAGGCGUUUUGACAACUGUUAGUGUUUCUGAAAUGUUCACACUUGCUAUCUACUUUUUACUUCAAUUAAGGCAACUAUGAACAAUAUUUUUUUUUGGAAUUAUGUGAUGACCAUUUCCUGCAAGUGAAAUGGAUGUAAAUUUGUGUUUUGUAGACCACAUGAACUUAUGUGGACACACGGUAGGACCUGUAGGACCUAUAUACAUCUCAUUGGUGAUCAUGUAAAUGCUAUUUUUAAUUGCUGGCCAUGAGGGGUAUAUUUGAAGUAUUGUUGGAGAAAA